ACAAUUAAAGCUCAUAACACAUGGCCUAGAAGUUAUUAGGUGGCCUCACCCCACCAGCGAGAGGCAAUACAGUUCGAUUAUGUACUUAGAAGCCUCAGCUGAUGGACAGAUUGUUUAAGAUUGAAGAGCCCAUUCAUGCUUCACGGAGGGAAACGAGAUUUUUUUCAUACAACCUCAGUGAAGGAGACGAUGAACACGGGCUGCUACUGGAGGUAUUACUCCAGGACUUCUGGCUUUACUUGCAUAUAGGGCACGUGGACUUCAUAAUGUUGGAGAAUGUUCUUGGCAGAAAGUAGAAAGAGGUAUGGAGCAUGCUUGAGAUUGACUAAUCAUAUUUUGAACAUUUCAACUAUCUGGCGAUUCACCAGGAUUCAACUGAUUGGCCUCUCAGUCCCCUAGCCUCAGAUCCUUCCUGGUCCUUCUUAUUGGCAGGAAUGUUUUGACAUUAGCUGUUUCAGAAGGGGAAAGGUUGCAUGAUAAACUGAACUUGGAAAAGCAUCCUCUUUGAUUUUCACAAUGAGAUAUGCUUGUACACACAUGAUGCUACAAGAACAGAUUUGUAGCAGCAUUACAAAUAAUGUUUUAAUUACAA
Molecule: long non-coding RNA, 592 nt
Organism: Pan troglodytes (chimpanzee)
Lineage: Eukaryota; Metazoa; Chordata; Mammalia; Primates; Hominidae
Exons: 5
Source: RefSeq, a predicted model, not a curated record